UUUUAUAUAUGUGGUUUUUCCCCCGUCAGGAUGAACGCUGGCGGCGUGCCUAAUACAUGCAAGUCGAGCGAACAGACGAGGAGCUUGCUCCUCUGACGUUAGCGGCGGACGGGUGAGUAACACGUGGAUAACCUACCUAUAAGACUGGGAUAACUUCGGGAAACCGGAGCUAAUACCGGAUAAUAUAUUGAACCGCAUGGUUCAAUAGUGAAAGACGGUUUUGCUGUCACUUAUAGAUGGAUCCGCGCCGCAUUAGCUAGUUGGUAAGGUAACGGCUUACCAAGGCAACGAUGCGUAGCCGACCUGAGAGGGUGAUCGGCCACACUGGAACUGAGACACGGUCCAGACUCCUACGGGAGGCAGCAGUAGGGAAUCUUCCGCAAUGGGCGAAAGCCUGACGGAGCAACGCCGCGUGAGUGAUGAAGGUCUUCGGAUCGUAAAACUCUGUUAUUAGGGAAGAACAAAUGUGUAAGUAACUAUGCACGUCUUGACGGUACCUAAUCAGAAAGCCACGGCUAACUACGUGCCAGCAGCCGCGGUAAUACGUAGGUGGCAAGCGUUAUCCGGAAUUAUUGGGCGUAAAGCGCGCGUAGGCGGUUUUUUAAGUCUGAUGUGAAAGCCCACGGCUCAACCGUGGAGGGUCAUUGGAAACUGGAAAACUUGAGUGCAGAAGAGGAAAGUGGAAUUCCAUGUGUAGCGGUGAAAUGCGCAGAGAUAUGGAGGAACACCAGUGGCGAAGGCGACUUUCUGGUCUGUAACUGACGCUGAUGUGCGAAAGCGUGGGGAUCAAACAGGAUUAGAUACCCUGGUAGUCCACGCCGUAAACGAUGAGUGCUAAGUGUUAGGGGGGUUUCCGCCCCUUAGUGCUGCAGCUAACGCAUUAAGCACUCCGCCUGGGGGAGUACGACCGCAAGGUUGAAUA
Molecule: ribosomal RNA, 922 nt
Filed under: bacterium 123
Lineage: Bacteria
Description: bacterial SSU rRNA
Rfam family: Bacterial small subunit ribosomal RNA
Source: RNAcentral